UACGUAGGGGGCAAGCGUUGUCCGGAUUUAUUGGGCGUAAAGAGCGUGUAGGCGGCCUGACAGGUCUGCUGUGAAAACUCGAGGCUCAACCUCGAGAUGUCGGCGGAAACCGUCUGGCUAGAGUCCGGAAGAGGAGAGUGGAAUUCCUGGUGUAGCGGUGAAAUGCGCAGAUAUCAGGAAGAACACCGGUGGCGAAGGCGGUUCUCUGGGCCUUACCUGACGCUGAGGAGCGAAAGCAUGGGGAGCGAACAGG
RNAcentral lists this ribosomal RNA (253 nucleotides) under uncultured bacterium. RNAcentral describes it as "partial 16S ribosomal RNA". It matches the Rfam family "Bacterial small subunit ribosomal RNA", at positions 524 to 776 of the family's 1533-position model. The record is from RNAcentral.